This 279-nucleotide ribosomal RNA is filed under the name uncultured Glomeromycotina. RNAcentral describes it as "partial 28S ribosomal RNA". Lineage: Eukaryota; Fungi; Glomeromycota. The record is from RNAcentral.
GAUCAGCUUGCUUCGCGGAGCUUGCGCAUUUCCUCGCAUGGCAGGUCAGCGUCAGUUUUGCGCGGCGUGAAAAGGCUCGGGUAAGGUAGCUCUCUUCGGGGAGUGUUAUAGACCUGGGCAAAUGCGCAGCGCGGGACUGAGGAUUGCAGCGGACACCUCUUCGGGGGCGCGGCGACCGAACCCUGCUCGGCCACCCUCGUUCGAUAGCGUGCUAGCGGACGCGGGAGCGGCAGUGCACCGGAACAGGCAAGCCAGCGGUUCGCUUAGGAUGCUGACGUA